AUGUUCGAUUCAGGGUCCCAAAAGCCGGCCGAAACAACUAUAAAAUUUGUAUCACUGUGGUACACGUUCGGUGGAGGAACCAGACUGGAUGUUGGAAGUGAUGCCCGUCCCACCCUGAUGGUGCUGCCCCCCUCCACUGAGCAGCUGCAGCAGGGGAAGGCCACGCUCAUGUGCCUGGCCAACAAGGGCUUCCCCUCAGACUGGAGUCUGGCCUGGAAGGUGGACGGCAGCAGCAGCAGCAGCAGCAGCAGCAGCAGCAGCUGGGAGCAGAGCAGCAGCCCCGGGGUGCUGGAGAAGGACGGCCACUACAGCUGGAGCAGCACCCUGAGGCUCUCUGCAGACCAGUGGAGGAAGGUGGGCUCUGUGACCUGUGAGGCCACCCAGGGCUCCCAGACUCCGCUCUCAGAGACUCUGAGGAGAGACCAGUGUCCCCAGUCCUGAUCUGACUCACUGGUUUUACUCUGCUACUGCUCUCAGUCUGCACUCUUUCUCUGUUUCUCUCAUGAUUUUUCAACAUUAACUUGUUCUUGCUUGUGUUGUUAGUUUUAACAUUUUCAAACAAUAAAGAAUUCCAUCGUAGAAUAUAAAAGUGAUGGGUCUUUUGAAUUCCUUUCUUUUACAUGUCUUAUAUAUUAGGAGCAUGAAUCAGGUUAAAGUGCCAAGGUUUUAAGACUGUAGACAUGGUGCAGCUAUUUAAAUGAAUAUAAAUCACAAAACUAUCAAAUUUAACUCAUUUAUGCUCUUGAAGGUCCAUUUGUUAAGUGAAUAUGUCAUUAAAAUUGCAUUUUUACCCCAAAUCAUCGAUCAUUAAUUUUUAAUCCUAUAUUCCCAAUAUGAAUGGUGCCCUGUUGAGAGUUAUCCAUACACGUAUCUUGGGACAUCCUAAAAUCCCUACCUAUUGGUGCCCCGUGUGAGGCAUUGUACAGUCGGCAAUUGUUCCGCACUUUCUAACUCUCUCUUUGUUCUUGCUUGUGUUGAUGCUUUCAAUAUUUUAAAGCAAUAAAGAUUUGAU
Non-coding RNA from Centropristis striata (black sea bass), 1012 nucleotides. The record is from the annotation of a RefSeq genome assembly. Lineage: Eukaryota; Metazoa; Chordata; Actinopteri; Perciformes; Serranidae.